Molecule: ribosomal RNA, 325 nt
Filed under: Lactobacillus delbrueckii subsp. bulgaricus
Lineage: Bacteria; Bacillati; Bacillota; Bacilli; Lactobacillales; Lactobacillaceae
Description: partial 23S ribosomal RNA
Rfam family: Bacterial large subunit ribosomal RNA
Source: RNAcentral
GCGGGACACGUGAAAUCCCGUUUGAAUCCGCGAGGACCAUCUCGCAAGGCUAAAUACUAACCAGUGACCGAUAGUGAACCAGUACCGUGAGGGAAAGGUGAAAAGAACCCCGGGAGGGGAGUGAAAGAGAACCUGAAACCGUGUGCCUACAAGUAGUCAGAGCCCGUUAACGGGUAAUGGCGUGCCUUUUGUAGAAUGAACCGGCGAGUUGCGUUAGUCAGCAAGGUUAAGUCAGAAAAGACGGAGCCGUAGCGAAAGCGAGUCUGAAGAGGGCGAGCAGUUGGCUGACGCAGACCCGAAACCAAGUGACCUACCCAUGACCAGG